This 165-nucleotide ribosomal RNA is filed under the name Manilkara sideroxylon. RNAcentral describes it as "5.8S ribosomal RNA". It matches the Rfam family "5.8S ribosomal RNA". From Rfam's summary of the family: 5.8S ribosomal RNA (5.8S rRNA) is a component of the large subunit of the eukaryotic ribosome. The record is from RNAcentral. Lineage: Eukaryota; Viridiplantae; Streptophyta; Magnoliopsida; Ericales; Sapotaceae. RNAcentral also lists the same sequence under 2 other names.
AUAACGACUCUCGGCAACGGAUAUCUCGGCUCUCGCAUCGAUGAAGAACGUAGCGAAAUGCGAUACUUGGUGUGAAUUGCAGAAUCCCGUGAACCAUCGAGUCUUUGAACGCAAGUUGCGCCCAAAGCCAUUAGGCCGAGGGCACGCCUGCCUGGGCGUCUCGCA